AGAUAAAUUGCAGACUUGAUCACCAGGUUUUUGUUGGGAUUGAAUGGGGAUUCAUCAAGUAGAUUGCUGAGUAAUCUAAACAUAGGCCCAUCUAUUGGUAGUCUGGUGGUGGUAAGUGGAACAGAAACCUUUGAGAUACCCUUUAAGACUUUCUUGAUGGGGUAUGAUGACAAAAAGGGGGUGUUGUUAGGGAAAUUAGUGAGACUGUGGUGCU
Pelobates cultripes (western spadefoot toad) is the source of this 214-nucleotide non-coding RNA. The record is from the annotation of a GenBank genome assembly. NCBI's taxonomy places the organism in Eukaryota, Metazoa, Chordata, Amphibia, Anura, Pelobatidae.